This 449-nucleotide ribosomal RNA is filed under the name Spermophora senoculata. RNAcentral describes it as "partial 16S ribosomal RNA". It matches the Rfam family "Bacterial large subunit ribosomal RNA", at positions 1847 to 2620 of the family's 2925-position model. The record is from RNAcentral. Lineage: Eukaryota; Metazoa; Arthropoda; Arachnida; Araneae; Pholcidae.
CUUAUAGGAAGCCUGCUCAUGAUAUAUUUUAAAUAGCCGCAGAUAUUCUGUGCUAAGGUAGCAUAAUCAUUUGCUUUCUAAUUAAAAGCUAGAAUGAAAGGUUUAACGUUUUAAUUUCUUUUUUAUUUAUAUAUUAUUAAAAUUUUAUUAAAUAUAAAAAUAUAUUUAUAUAUUAAAUAGACGACAAGACCCUGUUGAACUUAACUUUAGUUUAGCUGGGGCAGCUUAUUAAUUAUAAUUUUAAUCAAUUUUAUUUAAUAAAUUAUCCAAUAUAUUUGAUUAAUUUAUCAAGUUACCACAGGGAUAACAGCGUAAUAUUAAUUUAAAGCUCAUAUUAAAAUUAAUGUUUGCGACCUCGAUGUUGAAUUAUAAUUCUAUAUUAACGCAAUAGUUAUAAAAGUAGGUCUGUUCGACCUUUAAUAUUUUACAUGAUCUGAGUUCAAACCGGA